This 501-nucleotide ribosomal RNA is filed under the name uncultured bacterium. Its description in RNAcentral is "partial 16S ribosomal RNA". It matches the Rfam family "Bacterial small subunit ribosomal RNA", at positions 30 to 523 of the family's 1533-position model. The record is from RNAcentral.
AUUGAACGCUGGCGGCAGGCUUAACACAUGCAAGUCGAGCGGAGAUGAGGUGCUUGCACCUUAUCUUAGCGGCGGACGGGUGAGUAAUGCUUAGGAAUCUGCCUAUUAGUGGGGGACAACAUUCCGAAAGGAAUGCUAAUACCGCAUACGUCCUACGGGAGAAAGCAGGGGAUCUUCGGACCUUGCGCUAAUAGAUGAGCCUAAGUCGGAUUAGCUAGUUGGUGGGGUAAAGGCCUACCAAGGCGACGAUCUGUAGCGGGUCUGAGAGGAUGAUCCGCCACACUGGGACGGAGACACGGCCCAGACUCCUACGGGAGGCAGCAGUGGGGAAUAUUGGACAAUGGGGGGAACCCUGAUCCAGCCAUGCCGCGUGUGUGAAGAAGGCCUUAUGGUUGUAAAGCACUUUAAGCGAGAAGGAGGCUACUGAGACUAAUUCUCUUGGAUAGUGGACGUUACUCGCAGAAUAAGCACCGGCUAACUCUGUGCCAGCAGCCGCCGUAA